AGAGUUUGAUCAUGGCUCAGAACGAACGCUGGCGGCAGGCCUAACACAUGCAAGUCGAGCGCUUCACUUCGGUGAGGAGCGGCGGACGGGUUAGUAACGCGUGGGAAUAUACCCAGUUCUAAGGGAUAGCGACUGGAAACGGUGAGUAAUACCUUAUACGCCCUUCGGGGGAAAGAUUUAUCGGAAUUGGAUUAGCCCGCGUUAGAUUAGAUAGUUGGUGAGGUAACGGCUCACCAAGUCUACGAUCUAUAGCUGGUUUGAGAGGAUGAUCAGCAACACUGGGACUGAGACACGGCCCAGACUCCUACGGGAGGCAGCAGUGGGGAAUCUUGGACAAUGGGCGCAAGCCUGAUCCAGCCAUGCCGCGUGAGUGAUGAAGGCCUUAGGGUCGUAAAACUCUUUCGCCAGGGAUGAUAAUGACAGUACCUGGUAAAGAAACCCCGGCUAACUCCGUGCCAGCAGCCGCGGUAAUACGGAGGGGGUUAGCGUUGUUCGGAAUUACUGGGCGUAAAGCGUACGUAGGCGGAUUAGAAAGUUAGGGGUGAAAUCCCAGGGCUCAACCCUGGAACUGCCUUUAAAACUCCUAGUCUAGAGGUCGAGAGAGGUGAGUGGAAUUCCAAGUGUAGAGGUGAAAUUCGUAGAUAUUUGGAGGAACACCAGCGGCGAAGGCGGCUCACUGGCUCGAUACUGACGCUGAGGUACGAAGUGUGGGGAGCAAACAGGAUUAGAUACCCCUGGUAGUCCACACCGUAAACGAUGAAUGCCAGACGUCAGCAAGCAUGCUUGUUGGUGUCACACCUAACGGAUUAAGCAUUCCGCCUGGGGAGUACGGUCGCAAGAUUAAAACUCAAAGAAAUUGACGGGGGCCCGCACAAGCG
This 878-nucleotide ribosomal RNA is filed under the name uncultured bacterium. RNAcentral's name for it is "bacterial SSU rRNA". It matches the Rfam family "Bacterial small subunit ribosomal RNA", at positions 8 to 931 of the family's 1533-position model. The record is from RNAcentral.